AGCAGUGUGGCUCAGUGGAAAGAGCCUGAGCUUUGGAGUCAGAGGUCAUGGGUUCAAAUCCCAACUCUGCUA
Non-coding RNA from Ornithorhynchus anatinus (platypus), 72 nucleotides. Lineage: Eukaryota; Metazoa; Chordata; Mammalia; Monotremata; Ornithorhynchidae. The record is from Rfam.